UACGGGGGGGGCAAGCGUUGUUCGGAAUUACUGGGCGUAAAGGGUUUGUAGGUGGCUUGUUAAGUCAGACGUGAAAGCCCUCGGCUCAACCAAGGAAGUGCAUCCGAAACUGCUGAGCUUGAGUACUUAAGAGGAUCGCGGAAUUCCCGGUGUAGAGGUGAAAUUCGUAGAUAUCGGGAGGAACACCAGUGGCGAAGGCGGCGAUCUGGGAAGAUACUGACGCUGAGGUGCGAAAGCGUGGGGAGCAAACAGG
Molecule: ribosomal RNA, 253 nt
Filed under: uncultured bacterium
Lineage: Bacteria
Description: partial 16S ribosomal RNA
Rfam family: Bacterial small subunit ribosomal RNA
Source: RNAcentral